Molecule: ribosomal RNA, 253 nt
Filed under: uncultured bacterium
Lineage: Bacteria
Description: partial 16S ribosomal RNA
Rfam family: Bacterial small subunit ribosomal RNA
Source: RNAcentral
UACGAAGGGGGCUAGCGUUGUUCGGAUUUACUGGGCGUAAAGCGUGCGCAGGCGGUUCGUUAAGACAGAUGUGAAAUCCCCGGGCUUAACCUGGGAACUGCAUUUGUGACUGGCGGACUGGAGUAUGGCAGAGGGGGGUAGAAUUCCACGUGUAGCAGUGAAAUGCGUAGAGAUGUGGAGGAAUACCGAUGGCGAAGGCAGCCCCCUGGGCCAAUACUGACGCUCAUGCACGAAAGCGUGGGGAGCAAACAGG